This is a long non-coding RNA of Colius striatus (speckled mousebird), 1913 nucleotides long. RefSeq lists it as uncharacterized. The transcript has 3 exons. The record is from RefSeq and is a predicted model, not a curated record. NCBI's taxonomy places the organism in Eukaryota, Metazoa, Chordata, Aves, Coliiformes, Coliidae.
CAGAUGCCUUUGCACAUGUGGUACCUGAAUGUAAAAGUCAUUACAACUACAGAGGACCACUGGCAUCAAACCAGAGGUGCCUGAACAGUUGCAGAGAAGUAUGUAUUAUGCUGAUGUCUUUAACACUUCCAGUCACUGCUGAUGUUAGUGGUAGCAAUCUGGGAAACAGGUAAAACACAUGCCAUUAUAUUUUACCAGUAUAUCACCGAAUAACACUUGGAGCAGGUCUGGUACAAUGGCAGCCAAGAGCAGCGCUGUGCAGUCUGAGAGCCUGCAAACAAUGUUGCAUCCCUGCUCUUCAAGUUUACAUUUAGGCCCUCUUAAGCAGUACUUUUUGGCUUCCCUGUUGCUGUUGUCCAAAGGAAUUUAUAAGAGUAAUGCCACAGCCCAGCCAGCUACCUGUGUAAACAUCUUUAUUUGCACAACAUUCCCCUCCCUCUCAACACGCUCUUUUCCAGUCACACUACAUAUACCACUCAAGAUGAAUGUCAGUUCCCUCAUAGAUGUUCCCUCUGCUACAUUUUCCUAUGUGAUGGGUGAUACUUCAAAUUUGCUUCCGACCCGAAAGCUUUCAGCUAUUUCAACACUCUUAAUAUCCCACAAGUACACAGAGAACUGCCUUUCUACUCUGGCUGUUUCUGCAUAGCCUCAGUGUCCUUCUCCCAGCUGCCAUGCCUCUAUGACAGGCGAGGGCACGCUAACACUGAAGUGCUGUGGGAGUGGGCGAGUGGAAGUGGCAGAACUCUCCAGCAUGCAGACAGCAACGGACAUGAGCUGAGACUGAACCAGCCACUACUGCUGUGUGUCAUUAGCAGUGCUGAGCCCAAGAGGCAAAAUGGAGAAGAAGCUUGGACUGGUAUCUCCCAGUUAAACAGUAACAACUCAGUGGAUUCAUUACCUUCAUGCUAUAGUCCCAUUCCUCAUAAAACUAUUUUGCUUAUUUUAAAGAUAGAAAAAUACUUUGUGGCAUCAUUUAGCAAUGCCUUCCAUUGCAAAAAUACGUGGCAGAAGGAAAGAAGUUAAGAGAGCAGGCAAAAGAUUCUCUGUAGGUGUAAGCCAGAGCACUAACCUGGUUGCUGAAUGUGUUCUGACUUAACUUACAGUGGCAAGCAUACGUUAAAGGGUCAAAGCCUCUAAGAUGCCAAGAAGCUGAAACUCCCUGUGGUCCCAACCUGUCAUGUGCCAGGCUGUUCAAUCCCCACUGCCUCCAACAGGAGUGAAAGACACUCUUCCAAUGUGGGAACUUCAAGUGGGGUACAGGUGCUAGGAAGGAUCUGACAACAGUGUCAAGACAGUACCCUUCAGGAGACUUGGUCCCUGGUACUCCAGAUCAUGACUAUUUGGCUCAAGUUUGGUUUUUACGUACAUUCAGGAGUAUUUUUCCCAUCUGCUAACAGGUAACAGAGAGAGGUACUGUGCUGAGGACUUGGAUCCAAACACAGAGAUAAGACUUCCAGGUUCCUAGAUCCCAGGUUUUUCUGUUUUCUGGGAAUUCAAAGUGCACAGAAGAUGGAUUUUCCAGGCAAUCUUAAUAGUCCUUCUGCUUUUAAGGCUCAAGUGAAAUUUGAGUUCUUUUACACAGAAAGUAUUUUGGAAUCUUUUUUCAACAUCUAUAAAGUGACUCACUGAGAUUACAAGAAAAAGGAAAUGACUGGUAGCAUGUAACUGCUGAAAGAAAGGAAAAUCCCCUCCUGCUUUUUUGUUUGUUUUAAAUCAAAUGCAUUAUUUGAAAAUGAAGGGCAUGGCCAAUAUAGAAACGCUCAACAAUUGACCGUUAAAGGGACAAAGUGAGCUUUUUAUUCAUGAUGAUUUUCUUCAAAACAACUGUCAAUUCUGUUGACGUAACAUCCACAAGCACUGUCAUGAAUUCCAGUACAUACUUAAAACUUGCACUUGAAGAACAUAUUGCAUGU